CCUACGGGAGGCAGCAGUGAGGAAUAUUGGUCAAUGGGCGCGAGCCUGAACCAGCCAAGUAGCGUGAAGGAUGACUGCCCUACGGGUUGUAAACUUCUUUUAUAAAGGAAUAAAGUGAGGCACGUGUGCCUUUCUGUAUGUACCUUAUGAAUAAGGAUCGGCUAACUCCGUGCCAGCAGCCGCGGUAAUACGGAGGAUCCGAGCGUUAUCCGGAUUUAUUGGGUUUAAAGGGAGCGUAGGCGGGUUGUUAAGGCAGGUGUGAAAUUUUGCGGCUCCACCCUAAAAUUGCAAUUGAUACUGGCAGUCGUGAGUACAGUGGAGGUAGGCGGAAUGCGUGGUGUAGCGGUGAAAUGCUUAGAUAUCACGAAGAACUCCGAUUGCGAAGGCAGCUUACUAAACUGCCACUGACAUUGAUGCUCGAAAGUGUGGGGAUCGAACAGGAUUAGAUACCCUUGUAGUC
Molecule: ribosomal RNA, 460 nt
Filed under: uncultured bacterium
Lineage: Bacteria
Description: partial 16S ribosomal RNA
Rfam family: Bacterial small subunit ribosomal RNA
Source: RNAcentral